This 253-nucleotide ribosomal RNA is filed under the name uncultured bacterium. RNAcentral's name for it is "partial 16S ribosomal RNA". It matches the Rfam family "Bacterial small subunit ribosomal RNA", at positions 524 to 776 of the family's 1533-position model. The record is from RNAcentral.
UACAGAGGUCUCAAGCGUUGUUCGGAAUCACUGGGCGUAAAGGGUGCGUAGGCCGCCCGGUAAGUCAGAGGUGAAAUCCCGGAGCUCAACUCCGGAAUUGCCUCCGAUACUGCCGUGCUCGAGGACUGGAGAGGAGUCUGGAAUUCACAGUGGAGCAGUGAAAUGCGUAGAUAUUGUGAGGAACACUAGUGGCGAAGGCGAGACUCUGGACAGUUCCUGACGCUGAGGCACGAAGGCCAGGGGAGCAAACGGG